This 4045-nucleotide unclassified non-coding RNA is filed under the name Homarus americanus (American lobster). RNAcentral describes it as "hemicentin-2-like, transcript variant X2". The record is from RNAcentral. Lineage: Eukaryota; Metazoa; Arthropoda; Malacostraca; Decapoda; Nephropidae.
UCCGUGAUGGGCUCGAGGUUGCUGGUGCUGCUGCUCGUAGUAGCCCUGGUCUCCCACACUCCUGCCCUCGCCGACCCCAACGUUGGGUCAGGCGACGGGGCCCGCGAGCCACGUUGGGUGACGGCCUCUCCGUCCCGAGCGACAGGAGACGAUCUUUCCGUCGUCACUGCCUCCGCUGCCGCUGCCGCUGCCGCAGCCGCAGCCGCCGACGACCCAGACGUCGACGCCGAAGGGGAUGAAGUGAGCUUGACGGCCACAGCCUCCGCCACCGCGAAAAAUAACAGCGUGACCAACAUAACGGCACAGCUGGGCGCAUCUGUCUUCCUGCCUUGCAAGACACAUCACUCCAUGGAGAGACAGCUCCUGCCGCAGGUGUCUUGGGUGCGGCGGCGGGAUUGGCACAUCCUCACCUCCGGCACCCUCACCUACACCAAGGAAGAGAGGUUCACCGUCCACCAUCCAGAGGGCAGUACCGAGUGGACGUUGGCCAUCAAGUACGUGGAGUUGGAAGACGCCGGCACCUACGAGUGUCAGAUCUCGACGGGUGGAGGUAUCGUGUCACAUCUGGUGAGACUGAAUGUGGUGGUGCCGCGGGCUGUGAUACCUGGCAACGGGGAGUACCACGUCGAGUCUGGCUCCACCAUCUCCCUCGUGUGUUUCAUCGAACAGAGCCCCGUGGCGCCGCAGUACAUAUUCUGGUACCACAACUCACGGAUGAUCAACUACGACAGGGAGCGAGGUGGGGUGAGUGUCCACAUCGAGAGUGGGCCUCGGGUUAAGUCGCUCCUCAGUGUCAGUAAUGCUCGGUCUUCGGACUCCGGCAACUACACGUGCGCUGCGGCCAACACUAAACCAGCCUCCAUCACUGUCUACAUCACGGAAGCAGCUAACAAGAUCGCCGCAAUACAGCCCCGGGCGGUGGACUCAUCCGUGUCUCUACGUGGCUCUGUGACGCUACUGGCGGGGCUGCUCCUCCUCACACACCUCAUCACCUGCCACUGAACCUCCUCCAUCACCUGGCCUCCACCACCUGGCCUCCACCACCUGGCCUCCACUUGGCCUCAUAAUGGCCUCCCCCGAAUACCACCACCAUCACUGCUAGGGCCAUUGAGAGCCCUCCAUGCUGUCACCAUUUGGAUGACUGAAUCUGGACCACCACAGCUAAAACAAUUAAACCUGGACCUCCACAGCUAAGACAAACUUUGACCUCCACAGCUAAAACAGUUAGACUUGACUUCCAUACUUCAACCCCUUUAUAUCUAAAAUAAAAUCAAUCCUUUGUCAAGAUGAUAAAAUCUUUUUAGGGUUGCAGCGUUAGGUGCACACAAAGAGAGAGACAUGAUAUAUGACAGACAGGCGGACGAAACUUUAUCGGUCUGGAAAACAUAAAACGACAAUUAGACAGGGAAGACAACACGCAGCCAAGUCAGUAACUUUAACUUGGCUGACAAACAUUUAAAAUAAACAUCACAUUCAACUAACAUAUACAGUUUAAACCACCUCACACUGGACAGUUGUCAACCUCUAUCAUUAUUAGCUCUAAUGAUACAUUUAGUUAAUCAUUGAACACAGCUGAACACGUCAACACUGUCACAAACAAUCAGGAAGAAACAGACAAUAAAAAUGUUUUAAUGUGUCAGAAAAAUAAUUGUCCUGAGAUUAAAGAGAAUAAGAAAAAUAUGGUAGCGUUCCAAAGGUUUUUCUUUUAUUUACAGGAUAACAGACUGAGACAAGAGUGAGACAAGACUGAGACAAGACUGAGACAAGAGUGAGAUGAGACUUAUCUCUGUUGUUUAUGAUUAGUUGAGGUAUACAAGACAACAGCUGGACAAACAACCUAAUAACAUGUAAGGUCAAGUUGUGGAGGUCAUUAACAAAUUAACUAAAAUAAUAAUAACAGAGAGGAAGACUAAGUGACAGUUUAUUAAAUGAUGACCUAAUCAUUAUGGUGGAGACUUCGUCCAGCGUGGAGACAGUUUAUGGGGUGUGAUGGAGACAUAAUAACACUGAAACAAUAUAUACAUAUAUAAAUAAAUAAAUAACUAAAAACUAAGUGUUGUGGUCGAAUGCUGUCCAUAUUGCACCAACUUCUUUCUCCGGAGAAUAAAGACUUAUGAACUAUAAAUAUCCGAGAAUGAAACAAAAAAAAAUCAGAUGUGAACAAAAAACUGGUCCUAUGAACACUGAUGAACAGUUGUCGGUCCAGCAGUGGCAGAGAAAACAUUAUGUGGGACAAUAUUGUGUUAAGUCACAGAGACUCUCGGCCACUCCCAUGCUAAAUGUGUAUUCUAUAUUUUUGGCACGUGAGCACCCUACAAGACCUGGCCUGGUGGUGUGUGAGUGUGUACGUCUGUGAAUGCGUGAUGUAUACGUAGACUUUCUUACCCAGUGGACGACGAAGAUAGUUCUGAAUAAAUGAGCGACUUGUAUCUGGGUAAGUCAUUAGAAAUAUAUGUGUGUGUGUGUCAGGUAAUCACUCAAGCGCACGCGAUUCUCUACGUGGAACAACAACAUGUCAUGAUAAGAAAGACUCACAAGUGAUAGGGUAGAAAAGUUCAGAAGUGAUCACUGGAGUCAAACUUUAUGGUUUGAGUGAGGGAAAGAGCAGUGGAUGUCCAAGUGUAUCGAGAGAAGUUGAACGAGAAACCAGAUACACAUAAAAGAAAAAAAAAAAAAAUACAAAACAUGAAAAUCUCGAUGAAGGUAUAAAUGCUGUGGAGGAGAAUAAGUGACAGAAUCCUGAAAACUUUUUCUCUACUGACAGGUGACAUUACGUAACUGAAGAGUGAGUGAUGGAAGACCUUGAACACUUUACAUACAGGAACAGGAAGAAACAUAGAGAGAACAUAUAAGUAUAAUGUACUCCUAUGUGUGUAAAUAUAAUGAUGAAGCGUCCUAAUUAUUCCUAGACUGCUAAUAUACUGUUAGACUACUUGGCCGAACUCUCACGGCUAUGUAUAAUGACAAUAUAAUACUACAUGUUAUAUAUGGAGUAAAAAUAGCGUAUGAUGCUGAAAGGGUUAUAUUAGGACGUUAACAGACAUAAAUAACAACCGGACAAGACUUGGGAAAUAUUUAAUAAGAGAAAGUAAGAAGGAACGGUAACGUCACAGAUAAUGAUGACGGAGUGUCGUGAUGCUGACUGAUGAUGCUGAUAAUGAUGAUGAUAACGGAAAAGGUGAGAGUGGAAUGGAAGACGAUGGAUACAUGAUGACACCAAUGGAAAAGGAAUCUGUAAAGUAGGGAAUGAAGACGAAUACAGGUGAGAUAUUACGAGAAACAAAUAAUCGAAUUAAUCACCAGGUAAAUUAUGUUAAUGAAGAGAGGAUAAUAAUGUGGAUUAAUUAAAUAUAAAGUUAAUGAGUGUAUAGACGUACAUAGGUAAUAAGUCAUUACACCUUGAAGGAACUUUGGUUAAUAGUUGCAAAUGAAGAAAAAUAAGAGAUGUUAAGGAAGAGAAAUGAGUAAGAAGUGAAACAGAUAAUAAUGAAAUAUAAUAAAAUAGAAAAAAAAGUAACUAGUGUCCUGAUAUAAAUAUAGAAAGAAAUAAUGAGUAUAAAUAUUAGUGAAUGAAUAAAAAAUAUAGAAAAAUAAAAUAAAAAUACAAAAAAAGUCAUGAAUAAAGAAAUUGAAGAACUGAGAAAUGAAAAGAAAACGAAACAUAAUAAAUAAAGACCAAAUAAAAAAAUAAUAACGUAAAUAAAAACAGUGACGGAAAAUACAAGAACGAAUUAGGUAUAGGAAGGAAGAGAAGAGAAUAAUUAGAGAAUAAAUAUAAUGGAGAGAAAGGAACAGACAAUAUGAAACAUGCAAAGUGAAAGCUACUGAAGAAGAUGGUGAUGAAGAGCUUAGAGGCUCCAGCGCUGAGUGUCCGGCCAGCUCAAUAUCUCAAUAUUUUCAUAAGUGUAAAACAAAAUGGAAAAAAAAUUAUCUUUGCAUAGUUAAUGUCCCCCCUUAUCUCCCUCUGUGUGUGUGUGUGUGUGUGUGUGUGUGUGUGUGUGUGUGUGUGUGUGUGUGUGUGUGUGUGUGUGUGUGUGUGUGUGUG